UGCAACUAAAGCCGAAUCCCGGACAUUUUCGCAAAUUUAGAAAUCCCGGCCGGACGCUUUUUUAAGGUCCGAAAAAGAGGACUUGUCCAGGAAAAAGAGGACGUAUAGUCACCCUACUUAAUUUAUGAGCAAAUUAGUCAUCAAAGCAGUUCCAUGUUUUGUUAAUAAAGAAGCCGCGGCUGCAGGAUUACAUUUUAUAUAACUUUAAUAAUACUACACAUAAAUUGCUAAAUCAGCCACUGCCAUAAUCAAACAUGGACUAGUUGAGGAUACAAUUGAAGCAUACGAAGUUAAAUGAAGACAAAACUUUAGAGGCUCAGAAGAAAGAGAUCCAAGCAAAGGAAAGGUUGCCUGGCCAAGAAAGUGUGCAUCAUCUGUGUGAUCAUGACAUCAUCUGGAGAUUCUCUAGAUUUACUGGAAGGAGGGACAAAAGAAAUACUACAAAUGAACAUGACAUCAACUCAAGAUUGGCAGCAUACCCCAAAAUGCUACAGAACUUGACAGGUUUUUUUUUUUUUUAGCCCUAGAAAAAAAUAAAAAUAAAUUAAACAACAGUAAAAACCACAGCAUUGCACUGGAAUAAGAAACUGAACAUGCAAUGAUUUAUUCCAUAAGUUUGUUUUUAAGUACCUGUAUUUUGUAUGAAAGUUUGUUUGCAUCAAAUUUCAUUAACACCUUCUGAAGAAACUCAAAGGUGUUCUUGAGAUCAGAUGGAUAGCUCAGAUUCAAGCUAUAUAUUACUGCCAAGAGCAGAGCACAAGCCUUGGUGACAUCUCUAAGCUCCUGAAGCACUUUCACUCCUUCAACAAUGAUCCCAACAUCCAAUGGUGGUUCUUCAGGUCCUGCACCUUCAGCUCGGACAAUGAAAAUUCCAAUGACUAUUAGCCAUGUCUCUCUCAGAUUUCACAAAGUACACAAGCUAUUUGGUUUUCUACAUCAGUUUAUUAUUAUUAUUAUUAUUAUUAUUAUUGGUAUUUGUCAGUAUUUGUCAGGAUGUCAAAGGAUUUCAAAAUAUUAAUACCUUACAAAAUAAUCUCUUCAAUCUGGUUCAUCUGCCUUACACAGCUCAUCUACAAUGAAAGAACACAUAUAUUGUAAUAGAAAAGCAGAGCCAGACUAUGACAUAAGCUUACAUCCUGAAGUAAUAAAACUAUAUAGUGUACUACAUAUACUUUUAUUGGCAGUAUUCUUCAGGAUGGCAAAUUAUUUAAACAAAAUAUUCAUACCUUACAAAGUCGCCAGUAUAAUCUCUUCAAUGUGCUUCGCGCUGCUGCAUUUACAUAUGGUGUGCGCAAAGGGACAUCCCGUUUUGGUUUUCUUGUAUUUGUGCAUUUCACUAAACAAUGAUUUGUUGACUGAACAAAAACGCCUAAAGUAAAGGUGACAAGACACGUUUUUUGUUGAAAUAACUAAGUUAAACACAUUUUAUGCAGUUGCUUGUGUUUGUUUAGUAAUGUGAACAAGAAAUUAUUCAGUAAAACUGACUCCAGCUAAGUUCAUUUUUUUGAGUGUAUUAUGUC
Long non-coding RNA from Myxocyprinus asiaticus (Chinese sucker), 1520 nucleotides. RefSeq lists it as uncharacterized. The transcript is spliced from 3 exons. Lineage: Eukaryota; Metazoa; Chordata; Actinopteri; Cypriniformes; Catostomidae. The record is from RefSeq and is a predicted model, not a curated record.